RNAcentral lists this small nuclear RNA (243 nucleotides) under Terrapene triunguis (Three-toed box turtle). RNAcentral's name for it is "Terrapene carolina triunguis (Three-toed box turtle) U4 spliceosomal RNA (ENSTMTG00000000967.1)". The stretch from base 9 to 138 matches the Rfam family "U4 spliceosomal RNA". From Rfam's summary of the family: U4 small nuclear RNA (U4 snRNA) is a component of the major U2-dependent spliceosome. The structure of U4 snRNA from yeast and human has been reported. U4 snRNA presents a k-turn RNA motif in the 5p-SL related to recognition of Snu13 protein. Lineage: Eukaryota; Metazoa; Chordata; Testudines; Emydidae. The record is from RNAcentral.
GUGUAGUAGCAGUGGCAGUAUCAUAGCCAAUGAGGUUAAUCUGAGGUGUGAUUAUUGCUAGUUGAAAAACUCCCACACCCCAAUCUGGAUCUAUGCUGGUUAUGUGAUAUGUAUGUACCUCGUGAACCUUGUAACCGAUACUCGCAAGCCCGACCCCAGAUGUACAGUAUCUUCCCUCUUAACUUGUGUAAAUUUGAUUUCAAACAUUAACUUUAAUAAAAUUUUUAAAUUUGUUCAGAAAUA